UUAACUCGAAUUUGUAUGGAGUUGGAAAAGCUUUCUUCGUUUUCCGCUAGGGGUGUUGAUCCAACUCCAUACAAAUUGGAGUAA
Molecule: non-coding RNA, 84 nt
Organism: Bombyx mori (domestic silkworm)
Lineage: Eukaryota; Metazoa; Arthropoda; Insecta; Lepidoptera; Bombycidae
Source: Rfam